This 462-nucleotide ribosomal RNA is filed under the name Eisenoides carolinensis. Its description in RNAcentral is "partial 16S ribosomal RNA". It matches the Rfam family "Bacterial large subunit ribosomal RNA", at positions 1919 to 2620 of the family's 2925-position model. The record is from RNAcentral. Lineage: Eukaryota; Metazoa; Annelida; Clitellata; Crassiclitellata; Lumbricidae.
UUAGUUCAACGGCCGCGGUAUCCUAACCGUGCAAAGGUAGCAUAAUCACUUGCCCAUUACUUGUGGGCUGGAAUGAAAGGAGAACGAAAUAAAAGCUGUCUCUAUAAGCUCAAUAAAAAUUAAUCUCUAAUUGAAGAACAUUAGAUAACGUCGAAGGACAAAAACACCCUAAACAGCUUUAUUCUAAUAUAACCUAAAAUUUUACUAAAAUUCGGUUGGGGCGACCAGGGAAAUUAUUAAUCAUCCCUUAACAACAGAUGAAUAAAUCACUUAUCUGACCCUAAAACAAGAUCAACAAAACAAGCUACCUUAGGGAUAACAGGCUAAUUCCAUUAGAGAGUCCUUAUUAAUAAUGGAGUUUGGCACCUCGAUGUUGGCUUAGGGAAUCUCUACCGCGCCAAAAUCGUAUAAAGAUGGUUUGUUCAACCAAUAACACCCUACGUGAUCUGAGUUCAGACCGGA